Molecule: ribosomal RNA, 570 nt
Filed under: Rhodotorula mucilaginosa
Lineage: Eukaryota; Fungi; Basidiomycota; Microbotryomycetes; Sporidiobolales; Sporidiobolaceae
Description: eukaryotic LSU rRNA
Rfam family: Eukaryotic large subunit ribosomal RNA
Source: RNAcentral
AAACUAACAUGGAUUCCCCUAGUAGCGGCGAGCGAAGCGGGAAGAGCUCAAAUUUAUAAUCUGGCACCUUCGGUGUCCGAGUUGUAAUCUCUAGAAAUGUUUUCCGCGUUGGACCGCACACAAGUCUGUUGGAAUACAGCGGCAUAGUGGUGAGACCCCCGUAUAUGGUGCGGACGCCCAGCGCUUUGUGAUACAUUUUCGAAGAGUCGAGUUGUUUGGGAAUGCAGCUCAAAUUGGGUGGUAAAUUCCAUCUAAAGCUAAAUAUUGGCGAGAGACCGAUAGCGAACAAGUACCGUGAGGGAAAGAUGAAAAGCACUUUGGAAAGAGAGUUAACAGUACGUGAAAUUGUUGGAAGGGAAACGCUUGAAGUCAGACUUGCUUGCCGAGCAAUCGGUUUGCAGGCCAGCAUCAGUUUUCCGGGAUGGAUAAUGGUAGAGAGAAGGUAGCAGUUUCGGCUGUGUUAUAGCUCUCUGCUGGAUACAUCUUGGGGGACUGAGGAACGCAGUGUGCCUUUGGCGGGGGUUUCGACCUCUUCACACUUAGGAUGCUGGUGGAAUGGCUUUAAACGAC